UAUACACAUGAAUGGACCCCAGGUAAUA
RNAcentral lists this small RNA (28 nucleotides) under Bombyx mori (domestic silkworm). Its description in RNAcentral is "ovarian small RNA-23299". Lineage: Eukaryota; Metazoa; Arthropoda; Insecta; Lepidoptera; Bombycidae. The record is from RNAcentral.